AUACUUACCUGGCAGGGGUGAUACCAUGAUCACCAAGGUGGUUUGCCCCGGGCGAGGCUUGUCCAUUGCACAUCCGGACUUGCUGCAACUCGGUGAAUUCGACAAACGUUCGAAUCUCAACUGCACAAUUUCUGGUAGUGGGGGACUGCGUUCGCGCUCUCCCCUG
Neogobius melanostomus (round goby) is the source of this 166-nucleotide small nuclear RNA. Its record names the gene U1. It matches the Rfam family "U1 spliceosomal RNA". Rfam says of the family: U1 is a small nuclear RNA (snRNA) component of the spliceosome (involved in pre-mRNA splicing). Its 5' end forms complementary base pairs with the 5' splice junction, thus defining the 5' donor site of an intron. NCBI's taxonomy places the organism in Eukaryota, Metazoa, Chordata, Actinopteri, Gobiiformes, Gobiidae. The record is from Ensembl.